CCCUUAGAUGUCCUGGGCCGCACGCGCGCUACACUGACGGAGGCAGCGAGCUUACCCCUUUGCCGAAAGGCAUGGGAAAUCUUUUGAAUCUCCGUCGUGCUGGGGAUAGAUCAUUGCAAUUAUUGAUCUUGAACGAGGAAUUCCUAGUAAGCGCAAGUCAUCAACUUGCGUUGAUUACGUCCCUGCCCUUUGUACACACCGCCCGUCGCUCCUACCGAUUGGGUGUGCUGGUGAAAUGUUCGGAUCGGCCGUUUGUCGCGGUUUCCGCGUCAUGUGGCUGAGAAGUUCAUUAAACCCUCCCACCUAGAGGAAGGAGAAGUCGUAACA
RNAcentral lists this ribosomal RNA (327 nucleotides) under uncultured eukaryote. RNAcentral describes it as "partial 18S ribosomal RNA". It matches the Rfam family "Eukaryotic small subunit ribosomal RNA", at positions 1470 to 1796 of the family's 1831-position model. The record is from RNAcentral.